This 108-nucleotide ribosomal RNA is filed under the name Flavobacterium beibuense. The record is from RNAcentral. Lineage: Bacteria; Pseudomonadati; Bacteroidota; Flavobacteriia; Flavobacteriales; Flavobacteriaceae.
AGGUGGUUAUUGCGGCGGGGCUCACCUCUUCCCAUUCCGAACAGAGUAGUUAAGCCCGCCUGCGCAGAUGGUACUGCAUCUUGUGGGAGAGUAUGUCACCGCCUUUCU